Molecule: ribosomal RNA, 950 nt
Filed under: uncultured Bacillota bacterium
Lineage: Bacteria; Bacillati; Bacillota
Description: bacterial SSU rRNA
Rfam family: Bacterial small subunit ribosomal RNA
Source: RNAcentral
UGGAUCCAGACUUUGAUCCUGGCUCAGGAUGAACGCUGGCGGCGUGCCUAAUACAUGCAAGUCGAACGAAACUUCUUUAUCACCGAGUGCUUGCACUCACCGAUAAAGAGUUGAGUGGCGAACGGGUGAGUAACACGUGGGCAACCUGCCCAAAAGAGGGGGAUAACACUUGGAAACAGGUGCUAAUACCGCAUAACCAUAGUUACCGCAUGGUAACUAUGUAAAAGGUGGCUAUGCUACCGCUUUUGGAUGGGCCCGCGGCGCAUUAGCUAGUUGGUGGGGUAAAGGCUUACCAAGGCAAUGAUGCGUAGCCGAACUGAGAGGUUGAUCGGCCACAUUGGGACUGAGACACGGCCCAAACUCCUACGGGAGGCAGCAGUAGGGAAUCUUCCACAAUGGGCGAAAGCCUGAUGGAGCAACGCCGCGUGGGUGAAGAAGGUCUUCGGAUCGUAAAACCCUGUUGUUAGAGAAGAAAGUGCGUGAGAGUAACUGUUCACGUUUCGACGGUAUCUAACCAGAAAGCCACGGCUAACUACGUGCCAGCAGCCGCGGUAAUACGUAGGUGGCAAGCGUUAUCCGGAUUUAUUGGGCGUAAAGGGAACGCAGGCGGUCUUUUAAGUCUGAUGUGAAAGCCUUCGGCUUAACCGGAGUAGUGCAUUGGAAACUGGGAGACUUGAGUGCAGAAGAGGAGAGUGGAACUCCAUGUGUAGCGGUGAAAUGCGUAGAUAUAUGGAAGAACACCAGUGGCGAAAGCGGCUCUCUGGUCUGUAACUGACGCUGAGGUUCGAAAGCGUGGGUAGCAAACAGGAUUAGAUACCCUGGUAGUCCACGCCGUAAACGAUGAAUGCUAAGUGUUGGAGGGUUUCCGCCCUUCAGUGCUGCAGCUAACGCAAUAAGCAUUCCGCCUGGGGAGUACGACCGCAAGGUUGCAACUCAAAGGAAUUGACGGA